UGCCUACGGGGGGCAGCAGUGGGGAAUAUUGCACAAUGGGGGAAACCCUGAUGCAGCAACGCCGCGUGAGUGAAGAAGGUUUUCGGAUUGUAAAGCUCUGUUAGCAGGGAAGAGGAAGGACGGUACCUGCAGAGGAAGCCACGGCUAACUACGUGCCAGCAGCCGCGGUAAUACGUAGGUGGCAAGCGUUGUUCGGAAUAACUGGGCGUAAAGGGCGUGUAGCCGGGCUGACAAGUCAGAUGUGAAAUCCGGGGGCUCAACCCCCGAUCUGCAUUUGAAACUGUUGGUCUUGAGUAUCGGAUAGG
Molecule: ribosomal RNA, 305 nt
Filed under: uncultured bacterium
Lineage: Bacteria
Description: bacterial SSU rRNA
Rfam family: Bacterial small subunit ribosomal RNA
Source: RNAcentral